CCAAUAGCGUAUAUUAAAGUUGUUGCAGUUAAAAAGCUCGUAGUUGAAUUUCGGGAUCAAUUUACUGGUCGUGCUAUUGUACGUACUGUUUUAUUGAUUUCUACCUUCUGACGAACCAUGAUGUCAUUAAUUUGGUGUUAUGGGGAAUCAGGACUGUUACUUUGAAAAAAUUAGAGUGUUUAAAGCAGGCUCACGCUUGAAUACAUUAGCAUGGAAUAAUGAAAUAGGACGUUUGAUUCUAUUUUGUUGGUUUCUAGGAUCGACGUAAUGAUUAAUAGGGAUAGUUGGGGGCAUUAGUAUUCAAUUGUCAGAGGUGAAAUUCUUGGAUUUAUUGAAGACUAACUACUGCGAAAGCAUUUGCCAAGGAUGUUUUCAUUAAUCAAGAACGAAAGUUAGGGGAUCGAAGACGAUCAGAUACCGUCGUAGUCUUAACCAUAAACUAUGCCGACUAGGGAUCGGAUGAUGUUAAUUUUUUAAUGACUCACUCGGCGCCUCACG
RNAcentral lists this ribosomal RNA (498 nucleotides) under uncultured Glomeromycotina. Its description in RNAcentral is "partial small subunit ribosomal RNA". It matches the Rfam family "Eukaryotic small subunit ribosomal RNA", at positions 591 to 1092 of the family's 1831-position model. The record is from RNAcentral. Lineage: Eukaryota; Fungi; Glomeromycota.